This 73-nucleotide transfer RNA is filed under the name Camelus bactrianus (Bactrian camel). It matches the Rfam family "tRNA". From Rfam's summary of the family: Transfer RNA (tRNA) molecules are approximately 80 nucleotides in length. The record is from Rfam by way of RNAcentral. Lineage: Eukaryota; Metazoa; Chordata; Mammalia; Artiodactyla; Camelidae. RNAcentral also lists the same sequence under 2 other names.
GAGGGUAUAGCUCAAGUGGUAGAGCACAUGCUUAGCAUACACAAAGCCCUGGGUUCAAUCCCCAGUACCUCCU